This is a long non-coding RNA of Pipra filicauda (Wire-tailed manakin), 591 nucleotides long. RefSeq lists it as uncharacterized. Lineage: Eukaryota; Metazoa; Chordata; Aves; Passeriformes; Pipridae. The transcript is spliced from 3 exons. The record is from RefSeq and is a predicted model, not a curated record.
CAUAAAAGGCUAUGAGGAUGCUCAGUCCAUAAAAGGCUAUGAGGAUGCUCAGUCCAUAAAAGGAUAUGAGGGUGCUCAGGACAUCCCCCCCACCUCGCAGGCCUCUCCUGACAACAGUUCCUGGGAAAAUGGCAUGGAAGGCCAGAGAAUCCACAGUUUUGGGCUACACCCAUCCAGUGAGGAAUCGGUCCCAGCUGUUCUAACUAGGACACUGUGUCCCUCAUCGCUGCCAUCAUCAUCAUCAUCGGCCUCCUGGGAGUCGGUGUCUGGAAGCUCCGAUCCGGGAAGAGGGAGGGGAAUGGAUACGACCCCGCGCCCACCACAGGAAUCACGGCCUGAGCAAUCCCGGAGCUGGAUCCGCCCCUUCCCUCUCCCUGCGGAAAGGCAGGAGCUGCUGGCAGAGCUCAUCCCGCUGCUCCCACCCACCCCGGCCCCCCGGGGCUCUUCCCAAUGGAUCAACUUCUUACUUUUUCCCGUGUGAAACCCAGGACCGCAAUUAUUCCGGAGGCUUUAAUUUGGGUGUGAAAAUCUCCUGCUUUGGGCAAUAAAUCCUGGCUCCCUCCUCCGGCAUCCGGCAGUUCCUCUGUGGGA